Long non-coding RNA from Homo sapiens (human), 1238 nucleotides. Ensembl annotates it as HAS2 antisense RNA 1. Its record names the gene HAS2-AS1. Lineage: Eukaryota; Metazoa; Chordata; Mammalia; Primates; Hominidae. The record is from Ensembl.
AGAGCGUGGUGACAAUUUGGCUUGACUACAACUAUGCCUGAAUGAAGUACUUUUCCUUUUGAGAAAAAAGGAAUCUACGAGCAUGAGGACUCCCUUUUCUCCUUUUAGUUUAUUUUUUUAAGUCAUUUAUUAAUUUUCCCUUUGGUAAAAAUAAUUCCAGAGUUUGCCUUUUCUUUUUUCUUUUGAGGGGAAGGGGUAACUUUACAGGCAGUUUCCUUAGUCAUUCUAGGCAGCCAGCCAAUGAAAUAUAGACUAAACAACACAGAGGAUAUUAAUUUUACCUCACCAUACAUGCACACAGCUAGUGAUGCAUAAAGUCUUCAUUCCAAGACUGACAUUAAAAGGGUUGUGCAACUGCCUAGAUUCCAAUGUCACUAACGGUUUUCUGAGGGAGUUGGAAAGAGAUAAGAGAGAGACCUUGGGGAACAAUUUUAAAGUGGCUCAAUAGCGAUCGCAGAGCCAAACUCAUACCUACAUCAAUGUGGUGCAGAGAAUCUCUAAGAAUUUUUAAUGCUGAAUUGGAGCAAAGAAACUUCAAGGAGGAAGCAAAGUGAAGAACACAGAUUUCACAGAUGGGAUGCCUGGCUCAAAUUCCAGCUUGACCGCUGGUAGCUGUGUGACCCUCGGCAAGUUACUUGACCUCUCUCUACUCAGUGUCCUCAUCUGUCAGUGUAAUAUGAAUCAGAAAACAUGAACUCAGACUGAUGCUGGAAGCCACCUUAUGACUAUAAGCAGAAUCAGCCUCGUUAUGACGUUGAUGCUAUAAGCAACGGACUGAAAGAUACAAAGAGCAAGCAGACAGGAUGAUUUUGGUAUCUGACUGAUGCUGUCUUCGUGGAAUGAGUUAGGAAAGAGUCCCUCCUCGUCAACUGUUGGGAAUACAUUCAGCAGGGUUGGUAUCAUUGCAUGUCUGGCAGAAUUUGACUAGGAAUCCAUCUGGUCCAGGAUUUUUUUUGUUGAAAUGCGUAAAUGGCGACAGUAGAGCCAGCCUUCAUGAAUCCAGAAAUGUGAGCCACAUUUUGAGGAUAGCAGAGUCACUGCAGAAGCCUGGAUCCUUGCAUAACCUUGUCGAGUGGGAAAAUCUACCCAUACUUGACCAACCACCUAACUGGGGGCUCUACAUCUGAGAGAAAUGAUUUUUUAUCUUAUUUAAGCCACUGUAGUUAGGAGUCAGUUUAUUACAGGACAUUGCCUGGUGUUCCAACAAAUAAACUACCUUAUUUGUUUCAAUAAAUAAA